GUCCCACCAGAGAAAUUGAAAAACUAAAGUUUCCUGAAGAAAUAACUUUUUUCUUAAAUGUUUAUUAUUCAUAUAUGGGAGAAGAAAGGAAAAAUGAGGAGAGAAUUGAUCCAAACCACAUUCUCACAUAACAGCUAUGUAGUUGAAAGGGGACACAUAAACAAACAGUACUCCUUUAAAUUUUGAUAAACCAAAAGUGAUAAUGCAUCUGUAGAUUUUUCAUGACUGAUUACUUUUGUCAAGUUUAUCUUUAUUUACUGUCUGUGUUUUAUUGAGUUGAAAUGGGUCAGAGAUGGAGAAGAAAUUAAUUUUGUUAUUACAUGGUUCAUAUAUAUCUAUUUCUCUUAUCUCUCCCCUCUUUUUGAAAUUAAUUUUGUUAUUACAUGGUUCAUAUAUAUCUAUUUCUCUUAUCUCUCCCCUCUUUUUUUUAAACGAUCCGCGCAUCGCGCGGGUACUUAUACUAGUUUGUGUAAAAUUCGGCUAAUAAGUGCAACUCCUAUCCUAAAAAGUCGGUAUUUGUGUUGUAAACUCGCCCACAAAUUGCAUAACAUCAAGCCCCUCACGCCACUUUAAAAACAUUUUGAAAGCCCUGCGUGGUUAAGCUUCGGCUCUACAGCAUAGCAGUUUCCCUAAUCGGCGGAUCCUGGUUAGUGUUCUCUCGCUCUCUUUCUCAAAAUUUUACAUUAUUGUUUCUGUUUCAUAUGAUGGAUGAUUUGGGAUGUGAACUUACAGGUAAUAAUAAUAAGAAGAAAAAAUUCUUACCUCCCGUAAUUGUAAAGUACCAUUCUUGUCUUAUAUAAUCGUACUUAGCAUUUUUGGUCAAUAGAUUUUGUGAAACUUGAUUGAUAAAAAGAGUUUUUGAAGUUGUGUUGAAAGAUAGUUUUUGGAACUUGAAGUUGUGUUUGGACAUGCAUUUUCCUUGGAAAAAUUUGAAGUUUUGUGAGUGGAAGAAAAAUUUCACCCAGAAACUGGUCCAAUCUUGCACUUCUUUAGAGAUUGCAGCCAGAUACAUGUGCAAUGUGAUGGUGUCCUCGCCCGUACGCAUGAAUGUAUGUGUCUCUGGACGCCAUCUCUCAAGAAGUGUAGUAAUGAGGGCCCGAAUCAAGAGAGUCCGAGUAUCCAGCGUUCGGUUAUUGGCAGAGCAGAUGAGCAACAUUUCGGUGGAGUCUAUGAAUGCUGCCGCCCAGGGGACAAGGUUGACAUUUGAUCCAGACUAUACACCACCGGCACAGUACCAGCCACUGCCUAAUGUGCCCAUGGGGCGAGGUUCCAUAUUACCCAGCUAAGGAUAUGGUCACUACACCAGCCCAUCAGCCUCACUUUGAGCCAUUACUCACCUCACAUUGAUGUGCUUUUGAGAAUCUCGUAAGUUCCACAGCUCUGCGUAUUAUUUUGUUUCUUGCAAUCUCUGGAGUAAUAUAUUCUCUUUUCAAUUUUGUGAUACAUGAAAAUUUGGUAAUUAGCUGGUCAUGUCGUAGUGAAUACCGUGUCUUGCAGUCAGUGGCGGAGCCAAGAUUUAUGUCAAGGGGGUUCAAAAAUAUAAAGAAGCCAUAAAUGAAGAAGCUAAGGGGGUUCAACGUCUACUAUAUAUACAUAAAAAAUAAUUUUCACCUUAUAUAUACAGUGUAAUUUUUCGCCGAAGGGGGUUCGGAUGAACCCCCUCGGCUCUAUCUACGUCCGCCACUGCUUGCAGUGGUGUAUCUGGAGAAGGCUCUGGUGUUUAGGUAGAGGGUUCUCCUCCUAUCACCGAGGCAGUUUCAACUCCUCCUGCUGCCGACUGUGGCAUUUCAUUGCAGCAAAACUUGUCCCAGUUGGAUAUGGUAUAAAGAAACUGCAAAUCAUGCUUACCAUUGUGGAUGACUUGGUGUCUGUUGAUGAUCUCGUUGAGAAUCAUCUGACAGUAGAACCAAUUAACCAGUACGUUCAGAGCUGCGAUAUUGUGGGCUUUCAACAAAAUAUGAAUUUGUUACUGCAUUGAGGUGAUGGAAGUGAGUGAUGAAUCAUGAUGGAGUUUUACUUUUUUCGCCCUCCCUAUAGACUUCAGAUUUUGUUUUUCCUAAGGAAGUUGGAUCUGAUAUGGUCCAUCUAUUUUGUUCCUGGGGAUGGAUUUUUUGAAUUUGAGAAGAGUUAUAUUCAAUCCGUGAUUUAAUUUACCUUACACGUGGUGAUUGCAAUAUGAUGUCCAAGUUAUUAGAUAUCUGCAAUGGAACUAUGGUUGCAGCGUUGAUGUAUGAGCUAAAACACCUAUCAAAGUAACUUGGAAGAGAACACUCCCAACAAACUUUUGCGUUUAUUCUUUUCUGGAUCUUCAAUAUUGUGAUUUAUCUACCAUGGAGGUCUAUCUGCAUAAUAACUUGAUUAAGUGUUCUAAAACGAAAGAAGUACUAUGGCCAAAUUUGAUGGAAGAAAGGCGUCAAGGUCAUGUGUUUUUCAGGACGAUUGAUAAACGUGUGCUAGGUAGGUGUGAUGUGUAAAAAAGAUUUGACCGGAAGAUGGGAAAGCAUGUAUUGCCCAGAACAAAAUUUCAAAAUGUUAUCUAUGGUCUAUAUACCAUGAAGAGUGAUGGCAAAAACAAGUUGCAGAAACCGCUAUACAGCUCAACUCUGAAAUUUAUUAUUUGCAGAAAUCAAAGCACAUUCUCCAGUGAUAAUUUCGCCUUUUAAAAUCUCUCUUAUCAGCCUCCACCAUCUUGGCAGGGCUGCCGGCCCACUCUGUGGUUAGUCUGUUUGAUAAAAACUUAACCUCAGUAAACAUAUGAGAUUGAGAAUCAAUUGUGAGAAGUAGUUUAGCAGAAACUUACACAGGAAAUGCAAAAGAUUUUGUGCUGUUGGUGCUACUCGACCGAACAGAGAUGUUAUCAUGACAUUGCUUCGUUGCUGAGACCGCUACAAGAUUCGAGUCUUCAUGAUCUGGAAGCUUUUCAGUGUUCUGACUCGCAAACAGUGAUGCUAAACUUCUUGGCGUUCCAUAUUCAAUGCUUGUGCUGUUUUCUGCCUUUGUAUUUGGUACUGAUCCUUCUCUAGAAAUUGAAUCUGCUACACUAUUUUUGUCACAACAUGCUUCCUUGGAGACGAACUCAGAGGCCAUUGAGACUGGUUUCAUCUCUUUAUCCUAUAAAAAGAGCUCUCUGUCCAAACUCGGCCGUUUUGGAAAAUCAUGGCUAAAGGAAAUGGCAUCAGCAAUCUCAGUAGCAGCUUUAGAUUCCAUCAAUAGCUUCUUAGAGUCGUCGUCAAACUGCUUAACAAUGCCC
Lycium barbarum (goji berry) is the source of this 3250-nucleotide long non-coding RNA. RefSeq lists it as uncharacterized. NCBI's taxonomy places the organism in Eukaryota, Viridiplantae, Streptophyta, Magnoliopsida, Solanales, Solanaceae. The record is from RefSeq and is a predicted model, not a curated record. The transcript has 3 exons.